RNAcentral lists this long non-coding RNA (525 nucleotides) under Sus scrofa (pig). RNAcentral's name for it is "lncRNA (ENSSSCG00035059635.1)". The record is from RNAcentral. Lineage: Eukaryota; Metazoa; Chordata; Mammalia; Artiodactyla; Suidae.
GCGCCUAUCCGAAUACGAGGGGUGGAGCCAUCGUCAGCUGCGGUACGGGAAGUCGUAGGGCACAAUUUCCUCCAUCCUGGACGCACGACGGGUGUGCGACGCGCGUAACCCAGAAGUGAAAGGCCGUUUCCUUCGGUUCUGCCCUCUCGGCUUUCUGGUGACCUUACUGCCGUUACUGCUGUGGCCGCUUAUGUCCGACCCUCCUUGCCUAGCCUGCGUUUUACCACAACUCCCUACGGGGUCCAACUCCAUCCUGGCCGCCCUUUCCCUAAAGAACUUUACUCUACGGGUCCCCAUCAGGGCCAAGUGACAUUCUUCGCGGAGGGAAACGCUCCUGGAACUUAACUGCUCCCGAAGCCUAUCGCAGCCAGGCCGGCGCCUGCGCAGGGCGUUACCAUAGAGAAGCAGCCGCCUCUCUGGUCUCGGUUAAUAUUCUCUAUGGUCCAGCCGGGUCGUGGCGGUAAGGGGAAAAAAGGGAGACCUCACUGCGCAGGCGCGCUGGGCUUCUAAUUUUUUUUUUUUUUU